Molecule: unclassified non-coding RNA, 585 nt
Filed under: Hevea brasiliensis (rubber tree)
Lineage: Eukaryota; Viridiplantae; Streptophyta; Magnoliopsida; Malpighiales; Euphorbiaceae
Source: RNAcentral
CAGGCUAACAUUCCUCAAUUGGAUCAUGUGUAUAAUCGUGGACCUCAGCUUCAACCAACUUUGGAUGGACCACCUCAAAGAGUGCUGUCAAACUUCUUGCACUCGUUUGUUGAAAGUAGCCGCGGUGCAAUCCCUUUUUAUCCUGCUCCACUGCCAUUGUUAGGAUUAUCUGAAGGUGACAAACAAUGCAUACGUGAUCGUAGCAGCAUAAUGGCUAGGCACUUUUUUUCUGAUAAGAAUGAAGAUUUUAUUAAUGCACAGUUGAAUGCGCUAUUGUCUUCAUUAGACAUUGAUAGUGAUGCCCAUGCAAAGGGGCCUCUACCUGGGAGAUUUCGAGACUUGGAGGAUUACUGGAAUGAGUCACAAGGUAGUUUGAGACCGGGUCCUCAUCUUGCUGAUGGGUGGAUUUCAGAAUUUAGCCAGCACAGAUUAGACCAUAGUGAUCCUGAUGCUUGGGCUCAUGCAUUUGAACGGCAACAUGGUGCUAAUAGUUGUGUCUCUGAAUUUGAGCAGCAACAACAGUUGGCAUCAAUGGAUCAAAUAAGAGGUGCAAAUAUCCCAAACUUAGCAGCAAUGGAACAGACU